UACGUAGGUGGCAAGCGUUGUCCGGAAUUAUUGGGCGUAAAGCGCGCGCAGGCGGUCCUUUAAGUCUGAUGUGAAAGCCCACGGCUCAACCGUGGAGGGUCAUUGGAAACUGGGGGACUUGAGUGCAGAAGAGGAAAGCGGAAUUCCACGUGUAGCGGUGAAAUGCGUAGAGAUGUGGAGGAACACCAGUGGCGAAGGCGGCUUUCUGGUCUGUAACUGACGCCGAGGCGCGAAAGCGUGGGGGGCAAACAGG
RNAcentral lists this ribosomal RNA (253 nucleotides) under uncultured bacterium. RNAcentral's name for it is "partial 16S ribosomal RNA". It matches the Rfam family "Bacterial small subunit ribosomal RNA", at positions 524 to 776 of the family's 1533-position model. The record is from RNAcentral.